RNAcentral lists this ribosomal RNA (565 nucleotides) under uncultured bacterium. Its description in RNAcentral is "bacterial SSU rRNA". It matches the Rfam family "Bacterial small subunit ribosomal RNA", at positions 338 to 913 of the family's 1533-position model. The record is from RNAcentral.
CCUACGGGAGGCAGCAGUGGGGAAUAUUGCACAAUGGGCGAAAGCCUGAUGCAGCGACGCCGCGUGAGGGAUGACGGCCUUCGGGUUGUAAACCUCUUUCAGCAGGGAAGAAGCGAGAGUGACGGUACCUGCAGAAGAAGCGCCGGCUAACUACGUGCCAGCAGCCGCGGUAAUACGUAGGGCGCAAGCGUUGUCCGGAAUUAUUGGGCGUAAAGAGCUCGUAGGCGGCUUGUUGCGUCGGUUGUGAAAGCCCGGGGCUUAACCCCGGGUCUGCAGUCGAUACGGGCAGGCUAGAGUGUGGUAGGGGAGAUCGGAAUUCCUGGUGUAGCGGUGAAAUGCGCAGAUAUCAGGAGGAACACCGGUGGCGAAGGCGGAUCUCUGGGCCAUUACUGACGCUGAGGAGCGAAAGCGUGGGGAGCGAACAGGAUUAGAUACCCUGGUAGUCCACGCCGUAAACGUUGGGAACUAGGUGUUGGCGACAUUCCACGUCGUCGGUGCCGCAGCUAACGCAUUAAGUUCCCCGCCUGGGGAGUACGGCCGCAAGGCUAAAACUCAAAGGAAUUGA